Molecule: ribosomal RNA, 1420 nt
Filed under: Bacillus sp. (in: firmicutes)
Lineage: Bacteria; Bacillati; Bacillota; Bacilli; Caryophanales; Bacillaceae
Description: bacterial SSU rRNA
Rfam family: Bacterial small subunit ribosomal RNA
Source: RNAcentral
GCUUGCUCCCUGAUGUUAGCGGCGGACGGGUGAGUAACACGUGGGUAACCUGCCUGUAAGACUGGGAUAACUCCGGGAAACCGGGGCUAAUACCGGAUGGUUGUUUGAACCGCAUGGUUCAAACAUAAAAGGUGGCUUCGGCUACCACUUACAGAUGGACCCGCGGCGCAUUAGCUAGUUGGUGAGGUAACGGCUCACCAAGGCAACGAUGCGUAGCCGACCUGAGAGGGUGAUCGGCCACACUGGGACUGAGACACGGCCCAGACUCCUACGGGAGGCAGCAGUAGGGAAUCUUCCGCAAUGGACGAAAGUCUGACGGAGCAACGCCGCGUGAGUGAUGAAGGUUUUCGGAUCGUAAAGCUCUGUUGUUAGGGAAGAACAAGUACCGUUCGAAUAGGGCGGUACCUUGACGGUACCUAACCAGAAAGCCACGGCUAACUACGUGCCAGCAGCCGCGGUAAUACGUAGGUGGCAAGCGUUGUCCGGAAUUAUUGGGCGUAAAGGGCUCGCAGGCGGUUUCUUAAGUCUGAUGUGAAAGCCCCCGGCUCAACCGGGGAGGGUGAUUGGAAACUGGGGAACUUGAGUGCAGAAGAGGAGAGUGGAAUUCCACGUGUAGCGGUGAAAUGCGUAGAGAUGUGGAGGAACACCAGUGGCGAAGGCCACUCUCUGGUCUGUAACUGACGCUGAGGAGCGAAAGCGUGGGGAGCGAACAGGAUUAGAUACCCUGGUAGUCCACGCCGUAAACGAUGAGUGCUAAGUGUUAGGGGGUUUCCGCCCCUUAGUGCUGCAGCUAACGCAUUAAGCACUCCGCCUGGGGAGUACGGUCGCAAGACUGAAACUCAAAGGAAUUGACGGGGGCCCGCACAAGCGGUGGAGCAUGUGGUUUAAUUCGAAGCAACGCGAAGAACCUUACCAGGUCUUGACAUCCUCUGACAAUCCUAGAGAUAGGACGUCCCCUUCGGGGGCAGAGUGACAGGUGGUGCAUGGUUGUCGUCAGCUCGUGUCGUGAGAUGUUGGGUUAAGUCCCGCAACGAGCGCAACCCUUGAUCUUAGUUGCCAGCAUUCAGUUGGGCACUCUAAGGUGACUGCCGGUGACAAACCGGAGGAAGGUGGGGAUGACGUCAAAUCAUCAUGCCCCUUAUGACCUGGGCUACACACGUGCUACAAUGGACAGAACAAAGGGCAGCGAAACCGCGAGGUUAAGCCAAUCCCACAAAUCUGUUCUCAGUUCGGAUCGCAGUCUGCAACUCGACUGCGUGAAGCUGGAAUCGCUAGUAAUCGCGGAUCAGCAUGCCGCGGUGAAUUUCGUUCCCGGGCCUUGUACACACCGCCCGUCACACCACGAGAGUUUGUAACACCCGAAGUCGGUGAGGUAACCUUUUAGGAGCCAGCCGCCGAAGGUGGGACAGAUGAUUGGGGU